RNAcentral lists this ribosomal RNA (260 nucleotides) under uncultured bacterium. RNAcentral's name for it is "partial 16S ribosomal RNA". It matches the Rfam family "Bacterial small subunit ribosomal RNA", at positions 94 to 353 of the family's 1533-position model. The record is from RNAcentral.
ACCGGCGCACGGGUGCGUAACGCGUAUGUAACCUACCUAUAACAGGGGCAUAACACUGAGAAAUUGGUACUAAUUCCCCAUAAUAUUCGGAGAGGCAUCUCUCCGGGUUGAAAACUCCGGUGGUUAUAGAUGGACAUGCGUUGUAUUAGCUAGUUGGUGAGGUAACGGCUCACCAAGGCAACGAUACAUAGGGGGACUGAGAGAUUAACCCCCCACACUGGUACUGAGACACGGACCAGACUCCUACGGGAGGCAGCAUG